Long non-coding RNA from Oncorhynchus gorbuscha (pink salmon), 1146 nucleotides. RefSeq lists it as uncharacterized. The transcript is spliced from 5 exons. Lineage: Eukaryota; Metazoa; Chordata; Actinopteri; Salmoniformes; Salmonidae. The record is from RefSeq and is a predicted model, not a curated record.
GAGAGAGAGAGAUAACCCAAUCUAGGUUAUAUUAAAGGUGAAAUGUGCAGAAAUUGUUCCGCCAUUCCCUGAUUUAAAAAAAUUCUAAUAGUUUGCCUAAUUUCAGUUUGUGUCAAAACAAGCAUUCAUUGUGUAAAGAAUGAUUGUACCAUCUAAACCUCUCUUAAAUAUAUUUUCUAUAACCCAAAAUAUUUUAUGUUCAGCAGUUUGAAGCUGAUGUACUAAACUGAAAGAAAGAAACAUGUAUAUGUUACAUUUGAUAUCAACUACUCAUGUUGAUUGUGUUUCAUUUAUCUCUUUCAGGGUGGUGUGUCGGGAUGGACUGCUCUGAUGGAGAAACUCAACCUCCACAAACGGCUUUAAGUUGUAGAUAGUUUGGGAUCUGGGAGCUGUGAUAGAGAAAUGUAUCAACCUCCACAAACCGGUACCCCACACUACCCGGCAAUACAUGUGUGCACAGCUCUCAUUCAAAAGUACUCCUUGUUGAGAGGCCAGACAGGGAAGGGAUAUGUCUCGAGGCCACUGCAGCCAUUUUGCUCCUCCCCUACCUCCUCAAAGAAGAUCCAAGUGGGCUGUACGUCACAGACAUUGUGUAAAUUUCCCCAUUACCUAGAAUGAUUAGAGCCAAGUCCAACUGUUCCUGGAUGGAGAGGAGCUACAUGCCAGAGGACAUCUCCAUCGGAUUGAGAUUGGCAAUGGGAGUCCAUUUUGUUUUUAACAUUGAGCAUGUAGCAUCAGUGAAAAACACUAUGCUGAGCAUUCAGAAACGUGUUCUGGGAAUUUAUGAGGGGGAUACCAACAAAUGUUGAAUGGCAAACUUUUUUUUCUCCAGUGUCUGUGUUAUUUUGCCCAUCUUCAUCUUUUCUUUUUAUUGGCCAGUCUGAGAUAUGGCUUUUUCUUUGCAACUCUGCACAGAAGGCCAGCAUCCCGGAGUCGGCCUCUUCAUUGUUGACGUUGAGACUGCAGGUACUAUUUAAUGAAACUGCCAGUAGAGGACAUGUGGGGCAUCGGUUUCUCAAACGAGAUACUCUAAUGUAUUUGUCCUCUUGCUCAGUUGUGCACCAGGGCCUCCCACUCUUUCGAUUCUGUUUAGAGCCAGUUUGCGCUGUCCUUUGAAGGGAGUAGUACACAGCAUUGUACGAGAUC